This 700-nucleotide ribosomal RNA is filed under the name uncultured bacterium. Its description in RNAcentral is "bacterial SSU rRNA". It matches the Rfam family "Bacterial small subunit ribosomal RNA", at positions 42 to 734 of the family's 1533-position model. The record is from RNAcentral.
UCAGGCCUAACACAUGCAAGUCGAACGGCAGCACGGGUGCUUGCACCUGGUGGCGAGUGGCGGACGGGUGAGUAAAGCGUAGGAAUCUGCCCAGUAGUUGGGGAUAACGUGGGGAAACUCACGCUAAUACCGGAUACGCCCUACGGGGGAAAGCAGGGGAUCUUCGGACCUUGCGCUAUUGGAUGAGCCUACGUCGGAUUAGCUAGAUGGUGGGGUAAAGGCCUACUAUGGCGACGAUCCGUAGCUGGUCUGAGAGGAUGAUCAGCCACACUGGGACUGAGACGCGGCCCAGACUCCUACGGGAGGCAGCAGUGGGGAAUAUUGGACAAUGGGGGCAACCCUGAUCCAGCAAUACCGCGUGUGUGAAGAAGGCCUGCGGGUUGUAAAGCACUUUCAGUGGGGAAGAGGGGGGUAGAGGCUAAUAUCCUCUGCUUCUGACGUUACCCACAGAAGAAGCACCGGCUAAUUCCGUGCCAGCAGCCGCGGUAAUACGGAAGGUGCAAGCGUUAAUCGGAAUUACUGGGCGUAAAGCGCACGUAGGCGGUUGGGUAAGUCAGAUGUGAAAGCCCCGGGCUCAACCUGGGAACGGCAUUUGAUACUGCUCGACUAGAGUAUGGCAGAGGCAAGUGGAAUUCCAGGUGUAGCGGUGAAAUGCGUAGAUAUCUGGAGGAACAUCAGUGGCGAAGGCGACUUGCUGGGC